CGCAAUUCCUUGUCGGGUAAGUUCCGACGCGCACGAAAGGCGUAACGACUGGGGGACUGUCUCGACCACUCGCUCGGUGAAAAUGCGAUGGCGGUGAAGAUGCCGCCUAGGUGCAGUUAGACGAAAAGACCCCGGAAGCUUUACUGCAACUUGGCAUUGGGUAUAAGUUUUUUCUGCGUAGCGUAGUGGGUAGGGUAUGAAGUCCCGGUUUUGGCUGGGAUGGACCCGCCAAUGAAACACCCAUCUUAAAAAAUUUAUAUUCUAACCUUCGCGGAAAAAACGCGCGGGAACAGUGCCUGGCGGGCAGUUUGUGUGGGGCGCAACCCUCCUAAAGAGUAACGGAGGGGUUUAUCAAGGUCGGCUUGGCGCGGAUGGAAAUCGCGCUGGACCCGCAAGAGGAAAAGCCGGCUUAACUGCGAGACGGACAGGUCAAGCAGAUGCGAAAGCAGAAUCUAGUGAACCGACCGUGGCCAGUAGAUGGCGCGGAAGAUUAACGGAUAAAAGCUACUCCGGGGAUAACAGGCUAGUUCCGCCCAAGAGUUCAUAUCGACGGCGGAGUUCGGCACCUCGAUGUCGGCUCAUCUUAUCCUGGGGCUGGAGAAGGUCCCAAGGGUUGGGCUGUUCGCCCAUUAAAAAGGUACGUGAGCUGGGUUCAAACCGUCAAAAAAAGAACCAGAACAUCGAGAUUCACACGGCGGCCUGUCGCCGCAAGGCGACUUGAAUAAACCGACUCAUAUCGGUGAAGUCCUAACAAUUAUUGAAUAGCAACCUGUCAUAUGUUAGGAUAAUACCGAGGGAAGUCGAGUAUGCAUAAACUUUCGUCAACACAAAAGGCUUAUUUAGCGGGAUUUCUGGACGGCGAUGGAAGCAUUUACGUAAGGCUUAAGCCGAAUCCAACGUAUAAGUUUGGAUUUCAAGUGGCUCCUUAUAUAGUUUUCUUCCAGUCAGCCAAAGGCGAAGCCAAUUUUCAGAAUCUUUGCUCGCUUCUCGACCUUGGAUACUUGAGAAGGCGCAAAGAUGGGAUUUUGGAAUAUACAAUUGGGAGGAAUGAUGCGAUUGCGGAAUUCCUUGCUUUAGUUAAGCCAUAUGUAAUCCUGAAAAAGAAGCAGGUGGAUCUUAUGCUCCAAAUUAUGCGGGCUAAAUCUGCCGUGAAAGAUAAAAAAGAUUUCAAAGUGUUGAUGAAACUGAUAGAUUCUUUUCGAGAAUUGAAUUAUUCGAAGAAAAGAAAAAUACGUACUUUGACCCUGUAGAGACUACACGUCGGUCUCCCGAUUAAUAGCGGGAUGGUGGUAUAGUCCGGCACCCCUGGUAACAGGGGAUUACAGAAUGCGUGAGACAGGUUGGUCUCCUAUCUACUGCAUCCGUUGAUUUUUGAGGGGGGUUCUCCCUAGUACGAGAGGACCGGGAGGAGGUGAGCUCUGGUCUACCAGCUGUCCCGCCAGGGGCAACGCUGGGUAGCUAACUCGCUGAGUGAUAAGCGCUGAAAGCAUCUAAGCGCGAAGCAUGCCCCAAGAUUAGAAAUCGUUUAGGCCCGUGGCAGACUACCACGUUGAUAGGCUUUAGGUGUAAGCGCCGCAAGGCGUUGAGCCGAGAAGUACUAAUCGGCCGAUUCCCGCUCCGAU
Candidatus Doudnabacteria bacterium RIFCSPHIGHO2_01_52_17 is the source of this 1622-nucleotide non-coding RNA. NCBI's taxonomy places the organism in Bacteria, Candidatus Doudnaibacteriota. The record is from Rfam.